CCUACGGGAGGCAGCAGUGGGGAAUAUUGGACAAUGGGGGGAACCCUGAUCCAGCCAUGCCGCGUGUGUGAAGAAGGCCCUCGGGUUGUAAAGCACUUUCAGUGAGGAAGAACGCCUGGUGGUUAAUACCCAUCAGGAAAGACAUCACUCACAGAAGAAGCACCGGCUAACACCGUGCCAGCAGCCGCGGUAAUACGGAGGGUGCGAGCGUUAAUCGGAAUUACUGGGCGUAAAGCGCGCGUAGGUGGCUUGAUAAGCCGGUUGUGAAAGCCCCGGGCUCAACCUGGGAACGGCAUCCGGAACUGUCAAGCUAGAGUGCAGGAGAGGAAGGUAGAAUUCCCGGUGUAGCGGUGAAAUGCGUAGAGAUCGGGAGGAAUACCAGUGGCGAAGGCGGCCUUCUGGACUGACACUGACACUGAGGUGCGAAAGCGUGGGUAGCAAACAGGAUUAGAUACCCGUGUAGUC
This 465-nucleotide ribosomal RNA is filed under the name Vreelandella stevensii. RNAcentral's name for it is "partial 16S ribosomal RNA". It matches the Rfam family "Bacterial small subunit ribosomal RNA", at positions 338 to 795 of the family's 1533-position model. The record is from RNAcentral. Lineage: Bacteria; Pseudomonadati; Pseudomonadota; Gammaproteobacteria; Oceanospirillales; Halomonadaceae.